Molecule: ribosomal RNA, 403 nt
Filed under: Achromobacter xylosoxidans
Lineage: Bacteria; Pseudomonadati; Pseudomonadota; Betaproteobacteria; Burkholderiales; Alcaligenaceae
Description: bacterial SSU rRNA
Rfam family: Bacterial small subunit ribosomal RNA
Source: RNAcentral
AUGCCGCGUGUGCGAUGAAGGCCUUCGGGUUGUAAAGCACUUUUGGCGGGGAAGAAACGUCGCGGGUUAAUACCCCGCGGAACUGACGGUACCUGCAGAAUAAGCACCGGCUAACUACGUGCCAGCAGCCGCGGUAAUACGUAGGGUGCAAGCGUUAAUCGGAAUUACUGGGCGUAAAGCGUGCGCAGGCGGUUCGGAAAGAAAGAUGUGAAAUCCCAGAGCUUAACUUUGGAACUGCAUUUUUAACUACCGGGCUAGAGUGUGUCAGAGGGAGGUGGAAUUCCCUGUGUAGCAAUGAAAUGCGUAGAUAUGCGGAGGAACACCGAUGGCGAAGGCAGCCUCCUGGGAUAACACUGACGCUCAUGCACGAAAGCGUGGGGAGCAAACAGGAUUAGAUACCCUG